GAUCCUACGGGAGGCAGCAGUGGGGAAUAUUGCACAAUGGGGGAAACCCUGAUGCAGCGACGCCGCGUGAGUGAAGAAGUAUUUCGGUAUGUAAAGCUCUAUCAGCAGGGAAGAAGAAGGACGGUACCUGAGUAAGAAGCCCCGGCUAACUACGUGCCAGCAGCCGCGGUAAUACGUAGGGGGCAAGCGUUAUCCGGAUUUACUGGGUGUAAAGGGAGCGUAGACGGCGAAGAAAGUCUGAAGUGAAAGCCCGCGG
This 256-nucleotide ribosomal RNA is filed under the name uncultured bacterium. RNAcentral describes it as "partial 16S ribosomal RNA". It matches the Rfam family "Bacterial small subunit ribosomal RNA", at positions 335 to 607 of the family's 1533-position model. The record is from RNAcentral.